UUGGACUACUCGGGUAUCUAAUCCUGUUUGCUCCCCACGCUUUCGUACCUCAGCGUCAAUACUUGUCCAGUGAGUCGCCUUCGCCACUGGUGUUCUUCCGAAUAUCUACGAAUUUCACCUCUACACUCGGAAUUCCACUCACCUCUCCAAGAUUCUAGCUAUCUAGUUUCAAAGGCAGUUCUGGGGUUGAGCUCCAGGCUUUCACCUCUGACUUGAAUAACCGCCUACGUACGCUUUACGCCCAGUAAUUCCGAACAACGCUAGCUCCCUCCGUAUUACCGCGGCUGCUGGCACC
This 295-nucleotide unclassified non-coding RNA is filed under the name uncultured fungus. Its description in RNAcentral is "sequence contains ITS1". Lineage: Eukaryota; Fungi. The record is from RNAcentral.